Molecule: ribosomal RNA, 649 nt
Filed under: uncultured bacterium
Lineage: Bacteria
Description: bacterial SSU rRNA
Rfam family: Bacterial small subunit ribosomal RNA
Source: RNAcentral
CAGGCCUAACACAUGCAAGUCGAGCGGAAACGAGUUAUCUGAACCUUCGGGGAACGAUAACGGCGUCGAGCGGCGGACGGGUGAGUAAUGCCUAGGAAAUUGCCCUGAUGUGGGGGAUAACCAUUGGAAACGGUGGCUAAUACCGCAUAAUGCCUACGGGCCAAAGAGGGGGACCUUAGGGCCUCUCGCGUCAGGAUAUGCCUAGGUGGGAUUAGCUAGUUGGUGAGGUAAUGGCUCACCAAGGCGAUGAUCCCUAGCUGGUCUGAGAGGAUGAUCAGCCACACUGGAACUGAGACACGGUCCAGACUCCUACGGGAGGCAGCAGUGGGGAAUAUUGCACAAUGGGCGCAAGCCUGAUGCAGCCAUGCCGCGUGUGUGAAGAAGGCCUUCGGGUUGUAAAGCACUUUCAGUCGUGAGGAAGGUAGUGUAGUUAAUAGCUGCAUUAUUUGACGUUAGCGACAGAAGAAGCACCGGCUAACUCCGUGCCAGCAGCCGCGGUAAUACGGAGGGUGCGAGCGUUAAUCGGAAUUACUGGGCGUAAAGCGCAUGCAGGUGGUUUGUUAAGUCAGAUGUGAAAGCCCGGGGCUCAACCUCGGAAUUGCAUUUGAAACUGGCAGACUAGAGUACUGUAGAGGGGGGUAGAAUUUCA